This 340-nucleotide ribosomal RNA is filed under the name Flabellina cavolini. RNAcentral's name for it is "partial 16S ribosomal RNA". Lineage: Eukaryota; Metazoa; Mollusca; Gastropoda; Nudibranchia; Flabellinidae. The record is from RNAcentral.
UUUAAAUGGAGUCAGGUAUGAAUGGGAAAACCGGGUUUAGCUGUCUCCUGCUUACUAUCUUGAAUUUACUGUUCAAAUGAAAAAGUUUGAUUUUAAUAAAAAGACGAGAAGACCCUUAGAAUUUUUUUUAAAAAGGAUUUUGUUCUUAAUGAUUUUGUUGGGGUGACAGAGAAAUAUUUAGAACUUUCUUUAAUUUUACAAGCCGAAUUUUUUAAGCAAGAAUAAAUUACCUGAGGGAUAACAGCAUUAUUCUAUAGAUGAGUUUGUGACCUCGAUGUUGGACUAGGAAACUAGCAGGCUAGCCGUUUGCUGUGUGAGUUCUGUUCGAACUUUAAUUCCU